RNAcentral lists this ribosomal RNA (253 nucleotides) under uncultured bacterium. Its description in RNAcentral is "partial 16S ribosomal RNA". It matches the Rfam family "Bacterial small subunit ribosomal RNA", at positions 524 to 776 of the family's 1533-position model. The record is from RNAcentral.
UACGUAGGGUGCGAGCGUUGUCCGGAAUUACUGGGCGUAAAGAGCUCGUAGGUGGUUUGUCGCGUUGUUCGUGAAAACUCACAGCUUAACUGUGGGCGUGCGGGCGAUACGGGCAGACUGGAGUACUGCAGGGGAGACUGGAAUUCCUGGUGUAGCGGUGGAAUGCGCAGAUAUCAGGAGGAACACCGGUGGCGAAGGCGGGUCUCUGGGCAGUAACUGACGCUGAGGAGCGAAGGCCAGGGGAGCAAACGGG